GGUUGCGCUUUUUCUUUGUGUUAGAAAUGUAAAAUUUUAGCAGUUAUUGUAUAAUAGUUGGGUCUCAACUGAUUGAAUACAUAAAGAUUGACACCAUUGCCAAUUUUUAGUCAUUAAAAUGACCUUUAUAUGCCUUAAGAGUAUGAUUUUUCAUUUGAGAAAAUGGUUAUGCUGUGUUUAUUUUACUUCAUUUCUAUCUUUUAAUGAGAAAGAAGGGGCCCUUGUUUUCAAUGUUGAGUGUUGAAAUAUAAGUCCAAUUAGCAUGGUUUUAAGUCUUAUGCUGUGGUUAGUCUGGUUUUUGGAAGUUGUUUCUGG
Molecule: long non-coding RNA, 315 nt
Filed under: Gossypium barbadense (sea-island cotton)
Lineage: Eukaryota; Viridiplantae; Streptophyta; Magnoliopsida; Malvales; Malvaceae
Description: long non-coding RNA (GBAR_LNC017853)
Source: RNAcentral